ACGUAUAUGAUACGUGGUCUUCAC
RNAcentral lists this non-coding RNA (24 nucleotides) under Arabidopsis thaliana (thale cress). The record is from RNAcentral. Lineage: Eukaryota; Viridiplantae; Streptophyta; Magnoliopsida; Brassicales; Brassicaceae.